UACGUAGGUGACAAGCGUUGUCCGGAUUUACUGGGCGUAAAGAGCGCGCAGGCGGUCGAUCAAGUCGAGUGUGAAAGCCCCGGCUCAACUGGGGAGGGUCAUUCGAUACUGAUCGACUCGAAGGCAGGAGAGGGUAGUGGAAUUCCCGGUGUAGUGGUGAAAUGCGUAGAUAUCGGGAGGAACACCAGUGGCGAAGGCGACUACCUGGCCUGUUCUUGACGCUGAGGCGCGAAAGCUAGGGGAGCAAACGGGG
RNAcentral lists this ribosomal RNA (253 nucleotides) under uncultured bacterium. RNAcentral describes it as "partial 16S ribosomal RNA". It matches the Rfam family "Bacterial small subunit ribosomal RNA", at positions 524 to 777 of the family's 1533-position model. The record is from RNAcentral.